This is a long non-coding RNA of Rhinopithecus roxellana (golden snub-nosed monkey), 587 nucleotides long. RefSeq lists it as uncharacterized. NCBI's taxonomy places the organism in Eukaryota, Metazoa, Chordata, Mammalia, Primates, Cercopithecidae. The record is from RefSeq and is a predicted model, not a curated record. The transcript is spliced from 3 exons.
CUUCACCUCCCAUUGUUUCUGUGUGUCUCUCUCUCUCCUCUGCUUCCCCUCCCCCCACAACCAAAGUCAAGAGCGCAGACCCCAUGCUCACCUGAUACCUCCAACCAAGCAGGUGUUCUUUUCAGAAGCCAGAAGCUGAUAACCUGGGCUUUCUGAUCUAACCCCAGCCUAAAUUCUUUGCAAUGGAGGAAUCGGGAAGGAGAUUCUCCUUACUGAGAAGUGGAUGCCAACACUCCCUUUCAAAUUCAUUCAUCAGCAAACUAAAGGGGAUGCCAGAUAUGUCUGGAGCAAUAGAAGCACCACUGGAAUAAUGCUCCUGCCUGAUUGCAUCUACUUAACCCACUCUCCAAGAGCUAGAAUCAGAUUUCAACCGUAUGGAAUCAUGUACAAUGCAGCAGAUGGGCUUACAAGUCUCUUGGUUCUUCAUGUAAUUAACAGCCAAGAAGUCUAAAGCUUGCAUUGUUUACGUGGAAGAUGUUUCUUGCCCAUUCCCACGCCAUGCCAUCUGAAAUCAUUCCUUUUUUUAUUUUUUCUGUGCGGUUUUUUUUAACUUUGUGGGAUCCUCUGCAUAUAAAACUCCAUUCAAC